UGCUGUCCCAGCCCUUCGUUUGAGAAUUAGCCACUUGCACUGCAUCUAACUGCGGAGCAGAUGUCUCAGCACACCUUUCUCGGCGUCUCUUUACCCAGGAGGAUGGGGGGGGGGGGGGGAAAUCAAUCAGCUCUUUUAUUGCUGCAACAGAUGAGCCGGUUCCUGGUGCAGCCGGUAAUCCAAGGCCAUUUCCCUUUUCUGGAGAACAAAGAAACAUGUAAAUAAGGCCACGUUAACCGGUAAGCUGUAACGAGAGCAGCUAAUCGAGGUCUCGCUCUUCGGACAGGUGCACACAUGUCCUCGGGACACGGUCGGGCCUGAGCCGUGGGAAACACGCCCCAGACCUCCUCUGCCAUCACAUCACGGCGCGUCGGGUUUCAAAAGAAGCAGAUACAAGAUGAUGAAGCUUUCUGCGCUGGCCUCUAUUCUUGUGGGACUACGAAGAGAAAACCAUGCCUCUCUUCUUAAUGCAUUAGUGCCUCGUAAUACACACCAGAUGAUCAAUAAACUACAUAAAAAUUAAAUCAAACUGACAGUCUUUAAAAAAAUGUGCUCUAAGCAGAAACAAUUGUUUUAAAGACUGUGGUGUCUGGAGUACUAAACUCACGUGCUGCUGUGUUAUUAAUCUCUUUGUUGGAAGCUAGCUGAUUUCCCCCGCCUGCAUCUGUCAAUUAAAUAUCCAGCAUUGCAUCCAUAAUUGACCGGUUGAUGUUUUGGCAUGCAAGAACUUUUUGAGACAGAGUGCUGACAGUUUCUGCACAUACCAUACCAUUCCCAAAAGCCAAGAGGACUAGCGACUUAGAAAUCUGCCAGGGACUACGAGCUGCCCGAAAACACUUCAAAGCAACUUUUUAAAGGAAGAAGUUAAUGCAGAGGGGUGCCUGUGCUUGGUGCAAGAAGCGGGGAGAGAAGAAAAACAGAACCGCUGGUGAAACCUACAACCGAGCAGCAAAAAGGAACAACAAGACCUCCUUUUCUCCAUCCUCCCCCCCCCCGCCAAAAUAACGAGUAAAACUCAAGUUGCGCGGGGCUGUGUGAGUAGAGCACUGCCUCCACCUGGAGCUGCCCUGGGGGCUUACAAAGGUUUGCUGGAGUAAUUGGAGUUACGGUAGCAGUGAAUUUUGUCGUACGUUCUUGGAGACCUGCUCCUGACCUCCCAAGAUUUUCGGUGACUUUCGGUGUAAGCUGGACCAGGCCCUUGGCGGAGAGGGAAUGCAGCACUGAGAUCAUCUAUAUGAAGGCACACUCUACUUGCAGUAAAAACCAUCAUUGCCCAGAUUAACACCUGACUGCUAACAGUAAUAUGUCAGAACGCAACAAUAUUGAAAAAGCAGUUGGGUUUUAUUCGUUUAAUAUUUGCAGGAUUAGUGAGCUCCUUUUAAGAUUACUCCCAUAACAGGAAAGCGGCCAGGAACGGGAUGCUGCACCUUGUAGCUUUAUAGCUUCGGGACACGACUAACAUUGUGCUUCUGCCCCGCCGCCGGGGCUUGCACAGCACACGGCCAUGGUCCCCUUGGCCACUGUCCCCUCGGGGGGCAAUUCCAAGCCCACCCCAAACCGGGUCAUUUCGGAGCAGGCAGGAGCUGCACGAGCACGGCUGCCCCGCUAAGAAGUGCUUGCCAAGGCUGGGCUUAGAUCUGCGACUGCACAGCAGGGAGAUGGAGAACAGUGAGCCCCGAAGGGGGCUAAUUCCACCCUCUCCCAUUUCACCGGGGUAAAACCAAGCGAGGAAUCAAGCCUCAAAAACAUCCAGAUUUUUAGAAAAAUCAGCUGAUUAAUAUCAUCCUGAUAGGGUGUUUUCUGCUCUUCCAGCAACGGGGCGUCCAGAUCUAAGCAGACCGGGGGGGUCGUUCUUCAGCCGCGUGCCACGGGGACCCACGCGGUACAGGCCUCCACGGGCACAGACCCGUGGCUGCCGUCUCAAAUCGUUCAGGGCUCAGACGGAUUUGAUUUUGCAGCCACCUUAAAGUCCAGGCUGUUUUGACAGACAUCUGUAGUCCUGCCAGGUUUCACAAUUCUGGUGUUUCUCAUUAAUUUAAUUUAGUCAUCCUACAUCUUGCCGGCUCCUGAAAUGAUCUGAUUACAAGAUUUCACUUCGUAUUAUUAAAAAGGAAAAAAAAAAGUUUCAAAUGUCAUGAUUAUGAAAAAAAGAAGUUUCAAGUGUCAUGAUUAAGAAAAAGAAACCCUUGAAGAUAUGACCUCAUAAUCUAAUCUGAAAGAUCAAAACGCAGAAGUUGUAGAAAAGAAAGCCCUUCCAUUUAAUCUUAAGAUUUUCUUAAAGCCAGAUCCCAUGAUUCAAAGGAGCUUGAUUUACGAUUUCUGGACGCUUGGGAUCAGUAAUACUGCACAGGCAACAGAAGUAAUUCCUGUCCUCAGUGGCCUCAAAAAAGAGAAUCAUAGCACCAUCUACUGCCCGUCUUCAGAAUUUGCUCGGAAAACAAAAUAAACCAAUUCCAUGAAAUUAGUUUCAAUGGGUCAUGGCUCUCGUGUCCCACAGCCUUAUCGAUGAGUUGUAAAAUGGUCCAAUAUAGCGUUUAUGGAGCAACUGGAGUAAGCUUGGCCUGCAAAACAAAGAGCGGCAGCUUAACUACGCAGCACGGACGUUCAUCAUCAGAAACCUGCUCCUGAAUAAUAGCCAUUCUCCUGACCCGGGCACGUUAGAGAGGGUUUCAGUACAGCGGUAUUUUCAUAGAUUGCCCUCAAAUCCUUUCAUGUGUUUAUUAGCGCAGCCUUAAAGAGCUGUAUGUAUAAUUCACCUUUCUGUGCAAUUUAUCCUUUCACAGGCAACAACGGCUAAUGAAAGAGGUGGCACAUCGGCCUGCAGCUCGGACGCUGGUAAAACCCCGGUCUGUGCUCUGCCCUGGCUACUCUCCAGAAGUUUGUUUGAAAGUCAAGAAUGUGACAUGUUUUAAUUAUGCUUAUAGGUCAGGAUUUAAAUGAAAGCCCCGUUAUAAACAGCAGUCUCAGAGGGAAGGUCUACACUCGAGUUUUUAGCCCCGAACUGAUUACCGGCUAACUCAAGGUAGUUAACACGUUUGUAAGGUCUCAUCUGGACACUUCCCAGAUGUUUGCUCCAGGAUGCAAACAUUUGUUGUUUAUACUGUAAAUAGGUACACCUACGUUUUUCGGCCUGGACUGAUUUCUGGUUGCAAACCAUCUAAAUAACCCGGUUGAAAGCGCUCAGCAUCCAAACAAAAAGAGGAGUAAAAAAAAAAAAAAGAUUUUUUUCCCAGGUCUAGACCAAGCCAUUUUAUGGGCUACCCAAUAGCUUUUGGCAGAGCCUUCAACGAUACUGUCAGGCUGCUGACAACGCACGAGAGCGCAGGUCUAGCAGGUGCAGGCUUUGCAAACCUGGGCUUUGGGGGAGCCGGAAAGCUCGCGCGGAGCUGAGGAGCAGGCUCGAAGGCGCUGUGCGUGGGCCCGUGUCUCUUGAGUGGGAGCCGAAACCGUGGAAGUGGGCAGAAGCUUUUAAAAGACCUGCGUGGAGCAAUAGGGCUCAUCAAGAGGCGAAGUGGUGCAACCAAAAGUGAAGUGUGCGGUGUCCCCGCGUUGCUCUGGUCUUGCCCAAAUCCGUGCAGCAUGAGGGAGGAGAUGCUCCAGGGAAGCGCUCCGAUAUGCCUCUCCCGGCCACUUCACGUGAGCUGCGAGGCUCAGGCUGGGUAUUUGUAUACAAUGCUUACGUCCCUGGGCUUAUCUGCUCUGAAGUUUCUAUCUCGAUAAUUCAUUGUCAGCCAGCUUGAAGUAUUUAACGUGUUUGCAAGGGGCUAACCUGGACCCUGCCCAAAUAUUUGCUUCAGAACACAAAUCUGGUUUGCUCUAAGCACAGCCUUGGCUUGAUCCCCUCAUGCUACGCUGACUAUCCAGGGAGACAUCAAGCGGCCGUAGAGCCUGCUUCGGCCGCGGAGGAGGUUUCCUUCACGUGCACGGGGCGCUGCAACUGCAACGGAGCCCCUGGCAAUGAGAAGGGGAGGAAAAGAGGUUUCCCGGGCGGUCGCAUCGCAGCACUGUGCCCAGAGCAAGGCUGUGCCCCCCCCUUGCCCUAGCUGAGGCGGGACCCCAGCGACGUUAUGGGCAUCAGCCCCUCGAGCCGUCCCGCGGUGCCGUCUCCCGGGCGCCGGAUCCUGCACUGAUGCCGCACGCAAAAAACUCACCCAUAAUCUUCAAAGCCGGCUCUUCGCUGCCAUUUAUCUUAUCUAGCACUCCACUGAAGUAUGGAUUUACAUAAUACGUACCUAAUAGAUUCAUGUUCCCAUUCACUGGCAGCAUCUUGACGCUGUUUUCUUUGAAAGUCUUGCCAAAAACUAUCAAGCUUCUUACAAAAGAAGAUGAUGGUUUUAUAGAUCUGAAAAGGGAUUUCGCCCCCGCCCCCAUUCGCCUUCUGAAUACUUUCAUAUAGGCUCUUUGAUACUGCAAUCAGAGCCAGGCCCAAAACUGAGGAGUAGAGGGAUCCACAUUUCGGGUUAGUGGCAUAUUACACAGCUGGAGCACACAAAUUAAUCAAGUCUGGAUAUGAAACACUUUGUUCAGGCCUUCUGUCUGUGUACAACAUCUUCCCCAAAAUAUCUUGCAUUACAGCCCUCUUUGCAGCUGGGAAGAGUCAAGGCAGACGCACUCCCGCUCAUCACACACAUUUCCAGGGAACUCAGUUAAAUGUCUUUUCUUCUGAAUGCACAACCCUUCCUGUCAGCUCCACUUUUCCGUGCCAGUUAAAUGCUGCUUGGGACAUUGGAUUCUGCAAGGCCAAAGAGAUGUCUACGGAGAAGAAAUGCCACUGGAAUACAUGAUGCUCAAGGUAUGAUACGGACCUCAACACAGCUUAAGGGACUGUACAAGUGCACACAGCUCGUCUAUAGACCAUAGGGUCGUACUGCCAGAAGGAUGCUGCUGUUUUCUCUGUAAAGCCAUUCAGAAUCACAGCAAUACGUAUCUUCCCUAUCUUUGGCUUUGUUUUGAAAGGGCUCAAGGAAUACUUGCUUUUACAGGUAUGUUUGAGCAUAAGUCUUCUUCUAGCCAAAGGCACGUGAGGCAAAAUGAGGGGUAAAUUACCCAUUUUAUUUGAAAUAGUGCUAAAGAUCACACCUUGGGACAAACUCUUGGGUUCGUGGUUGAUCUUUGCACCUUCACAUGAGGCCUGAAUGCCUUUAUGGAGGACGUGUUGAAGUUAAACACCAGGUAGUGGGUCAAUACAGCAGAAGAGCAUGACGCUAUGUGGCUCGGGCAAUAUGGGAACUCAGCCUAUGGCAUUAAUGGUCUCUUUUGCUCUUCACUAUCUGCAAAUUUGCUCUGAACCAGGGGUUAAGAAAUAACAAGGGUAAAUCCCUGUAAAAUUGCCAGUAAAUGUUGG
Molecule: long non-coding RNA, 5344 nt
Organism: Dromaius novaehollandiae (emu)
Lineage: Eukaryota; Metazoa; Chordata; Aves; Casuariiformes; Dromaiidae
Exons: 3
Source: RefSeq, a predicted model, not a curated record